Molecule: ribosomal RNA, 446 nt
Filed under: uncultured bacterium
Lineage: Bacteria
Description: partial 16S ribosomal RNA
Rfam family: Bacterial small subunit ribosomal RNA
Source: RNAcentral
CCUACGGGUGGCAACAGUCGAGAAUCAUUCACAAUGGGGGAAACCCUGAUGGUGCGACGCCGCGUGGGGGAAUGAAGGUCUUCGGAUUGUAAACCCCUGUCAUGUGGGAGCAAAUUAAAAAGAUAGUACCACAAGAGGAAGAGACGGCUAACUCUGUGCCAGCAGCCGCGGUAAUACAGAGGUCUCAAGCGUUGUUCGGAAUCACUGGGCGUAAAGCGUGCGUAGGCUGUUACGUAAGUCGGGUGUGAAAGGCGCGGGCUCAACCCGCGGACGGCACAUGAUACUGCGAGACUAGAGUGAUGGAGAGGGAAGCGGAAUUCUCGGUGUAGCAGUGAAAUGCGUAGAUAUCGGGAGGAACACUCGUGGCGAAGGCGGGUUCCUGGACAUUAACUGACGCUGAGGCACGAAGGCCAGGGGAGCGAAAGGGAUUAGAUACCCCUGUAGUC